Molecule: ribosomal RNA, 495 nt
Filed under: uncultured bacterium
Lineage: Bacteria
Description: partial 16S ribosomal RNA
Rfam family: Bacterial small subunit ribosomal RNA
Source: RNAcentral
GACGAACGCUGGCGGCGUGCCUAAUACAUGCCAGUAGAACGCUGAAGGAGGAGCUUGCUCUUCUGGAUGAGUUGCGAACGGGUGAGUAACGCGUAGGUAACCUGCCUGGUAGCGGGGGAUAACUGUUGGAAACGAUAGCUAAUACCGCAUAACAGUAGAUGUUGCAUGACAUUUACUUAAAAGGUGCAAUUGCAUCACUACCAGAUGGACCUGCGUUGUAUUAGCUAGUUGGUGGGGUAACGGCUCACCAAGGCGACGAUACAUAGCCGACCUGAGAGGGUGAUCGGCCACACUGGGACUGAGACACGGCCCAGACUCCUACGGGAGGCAGCAGUAGGGAAUCUUCGGCAAUGGACGGAAGUCUGACCGAGCAACGCCGCGUGAGUGAAGAAGGUUUUCGGAUCGUAAAGCUCUGUUGUAAGAGAAGAACGAGUGUGAGAGUGGAAAGUUCACACUGUGACGGUAUCUUACCAGAAAGGGACGGCUAACUACGUG